RNAcentral lists this ribosomal RNA (329 nucleotides) under uncultured eukaryote. RNAcentral's name for it is "partial 18S ribosomal RNA". It matches the Rfam family "Eukaryotic small subunit ribosomal RNA", at positions 1470 to 1796 of the family's 1831-position model. The record is from RNAcentral.
CCCUUAGAUGUUCUGGGCCGCACGCGCGCUACACCGACACGUUCAUCAAGUCUAUAACCUUGACCGAGAGGUCUGGGUAAUCUUUUAAAAACGUGUCGUGCUGGGGAUAGAUUAUUGCAAUUAUUAAUCUUCAACGAGGAAUUCCUAGUAAACGCAAGUCAUCAACUUGCAUUGAUUACGUCCCUGCCCUUUGUACACACCGCCCGUCGCUACUACCGAUUGAAUGAUUUAGUGAGUACCAGGGACCGAGCGCUUUGGUUGGGUUUCCUUCCCUAGCGCUUGGGAACUGUCGCAAACUUGACCAUUUAGAGGAAGUAAAAGUCGUAACA